AACAGGGAUUGCCUUAGUAACGGCGAGUGAAGCGGCAAUAGCUCAAAUUUGAAAGCUGGCCCCUUCGGGGUCCGCGUUGUAAUUUGUAGAGGAUGAUUCGGCGAGGGCUCCCGUCUAAGUCCCUUGGAACAGGGCGUCAUAGAGGGUGAGAAUCCCGUAUGUGAUGGGCUGCCUUAGCCAUGUGAAUCUCCUUCGACGAGUCGAGUUGUUUGGGAAUGCAGCUCUAAAUGGGAGGUAAAUUUCUUCUAAAGCUAAAUACCGGCCAGAGACCGAUAGCGCACAAGUAGAGUGAUCGAAAGAUGAAAAGCACUUUGGAAAGAGAGUUAAAAAGUACGUGAAAUUGUUGAAAGGGAAGCGCUUGCAGCCAGACUUGUCCGCAGUUGCUCAGCUUGUCUCCUGACAGGCGUACUCUUCUGCGGCCAGGCCAGCAUCAGUUCGGGCGGUCGGAUAAAGACCUAGGGAAUGUAGCUCCUCUCGGGGAGUGUUAUAGCCCUGGGUGCAAUGCGGCCAGCCUGGACUGAGGAUCUCGCUUCGGCUAGGAUGCUGGCGUAAUGGCUGUAAGCGGCCCGUCUUGAAACACGGACCAAGGAGUCUAACAUCUAUGCGAGUGUUUGGGUGUCAAACCCAUGCGCGUAAUGAAAGUGAACGGAGGUGGGAACCCUCACGGGUGCACCAUCGACCGAUCCUGAUGUCUUCGGAUGGAUUUGAGUAAGAGCAUAGCUGUUGGGACCCGAAAGAUGGUGAACUAUGCCUGAAUAGGGUGAAGCCAGAGGAAACUCUGGUGGAGGCUCGCAGCGGUUCUGACGUGCAAAUCGAUCGUCAAAUUUGGGUAUAGGGGCGAAAGACUAAUCGAACCAUCUAGUAGCU
Molecule: ribosomal RNA, 867 nt
Filed under: Neofusicoccum hongkongense
Lineage: Eukaryota; Fungi; Ascomycota; Dothideomycetes; Botryosphaeriales; Botryosphaeriaceae
Also listed under: 1 other name
Description: eukaryotic LSU rRNA
Rfam family: Eukaryotic large subunit ribosomal RNA
Source: RNAcentral